UAGAGUUUGAUCCUGGCUCAGAUUGAACGCUGGCGGCAUGCCUUACACAUGCAAGUCGAACGGUAACAGGUUAAGCUGACGAGUGGCGAACGGGUGAGUAAUAUAUCGGAACGUGCCCAGUCGUGGGGGAUAACUGCUCGAAAGAGCAGCUAAUACCGCAUACGACCUGAGGGUGAAAGUGGGGGACCGCAAGGCCUCAUGCUAUAGGAGCGGCCGAUGUCUGAUUAGCUAGUUGGUGAGGUAAAGGCUCACCAAGGCGACGAUCAGUAGCUGGUCUGAGAGGACGAUCAGCCACACUGGGACUGAGACACGGCCCAGACUCCUACGGGAGGCAGCAGUGGGGAAUUUUGGACAAUGGGCGAAAGCCUGAUCCAGCAAUGCCGCGUGUGUGAGGAAGGCCUUCGGGUUGUAAAGCACUUUUGUCCGGAAAGAAAUGGCUCUGGUUAAUACCUGGGGUCGAUGACGGUAUCGGAAGAAUAAGGACCGGCUAACUACGUGCCAGCAGCCCCGGUCAA
RNAcentral lists this ribosomal RNA (515 nucleotides) under uncultured bacterium. RNAcentral describes it as "bacterial SSU rRNA". It matches the Rfam family "Bacterial small subunit ribosomal RNA", at positions 1 to 524 of the family's 1533-position model. The record is from RNAcentral.